RNAcentral lists this ribosomal RNA (250 nucleotides) under uncultured bacterium. RNAcentral's name for it is "partial 16S ribosomal RNA". It matches the Rfam family "Bacterial small subunit ribosomal RNA", at positions 524 to 773 of the family's 1533-position model. The record is from RNAcentral.
UACGUAGGUGGCGAGCGUUGUCCGGAAUUAUUGGGCGUAAAGGAUGCGUAGGUGGUAGUUUAAGUGAGGUGUGAAAUCCACAGGCUCAACCUGUGAAUUGCAUUUCAAACUGGACUACUAGAGUGCAGGAGAGGAAAGUGGAAUUCCUAGUGUAGCGGUGAAAUGCGUAGAGAUUAGGAAGAACACCAGUGGCGAAGGCGACUUUCUGGACUGUAACUGACACUGAGGCAUGAAAGCGUGGGGAGCAAAC